UACGGAGGAUGCAAGCGUUAUCCGGAAUGAUUGGGCGUAAAGCGUCCGCAGGUGGCUGUGUAAGUCUGCUGUUAAAGAGUGAGGCUCAACCUCAUAAAAGCAGUGGAAACUACACGGCUAGAGUGCGUUCGGGGUAGAGGGAAUUCCCGGUGUAGCGGUGAAAUGCGUAGAGAUCGGGAAGAACAUCGGUGGCGAAAGCGCUCUACUGGGCCAUAACUGACACUCAGGGACGAAAGCUAGGGGAGCGAAUGGG
RNAcentral lists this ribosomal RNA (253 nucleotides) under uncultured bacterium. RNAcentral's name for it is "partial 16S ribosomal RNA". It matches the Rfam family "Bacterial small subunit ribosomal RNA", at positions 524 to 776 of the family's 1533-position model. The record is from RNAcentral.